UUGACAUUUUUAAUUGUGAUGUGUCUUGGUGUGGGUCUCUUUGGGUGCCUCUUAUAGAAUUGUCUAGGAUUUUUGGAACUUUUUGUUUGUUUGUCUUUUUAGGGCCACAACCACAGCAUAUGGACGUUCCCAGACUAGGGGUCCAAUCAGAGCUAUAGCUGCUGGCCUACACCACAGCCACAGCAACACAGGAUAUGAGCUGCAUCUGUGACCUGCUCCACAGGUCACGGCAAUGCCAGAUCUUUAACCCACUGAGCGAGGCCAAGGAUCAAAUCUGUAUCCUCAUGAAUACUAGUUGGGCUCAUUACCACUGAGCCACCACAGAAACUCUGUCUUUCUGGAUUUUAAUGUAUGUUUUCUUCCCUUUUCAGCCAUUAUUUCUUCAAACAAGAUUUCUGCCCCUUUCUCUCUUUAUUCUCCUCUUGGGACUCCUCUGAUGGGAAUGUUAAGCCAUUUGAUACUGCUUCAUAUUCCUUCAAUCUGUUCUCACUUUUUUCCCAUUCUUUUUGCUGCUCUAAUUUGCAUGAGUUUCAUUGUCUUGUCUUCAAGUUGACGGAUCCUUUCUUCUGCUUCAUCCAACCCAUUGCUGAAUCCCUCUAGUGUAUUUUUGGUUUGUUUUUAGUCAUCACUCUGGUGUGGUGUGGAUUUGAACAUGUUGAGCAGAUGUGGGCAGGACAGGUAGUAGCCCAUCACAGCGGUCCAGGCAAGAGACAAGAGAAGUCUGGAUUGGUAGAGAAGUAACAGGAGUGGGGUCCAGAAGUGUAUAGAUUGGAGAGUUAGAUGGGAAUUAAAAACAAGAGGACCUUGUGAUUCCAUAGGGGCAAUGGGAGGAGAAGGCAGCAGUGAGUCCCGUGUUCCUGGCGUGUGUGACUGGUAGCAGCAGAGCACUCAUCAGAACAGGAAAUGGAGCAGGAAGGAAGGGUGACUUCAGUAUCGGCGUGUUAUCCCCAACACCUGUGGAAGCCAUAGAGGGAGGCAGAUGAAAUCGGUGGGGAUGUGGAUUGAGAGUAGUCUGCCUGUAACUGGUGCCGUGAGCCCUGGACCCUGGUGAUGACCGAGGACAAGAGCACAGAGGGAGAAGAGAGGACCAACAGCGAAGAGAAUGAGGUCUCCCUGGGGAGUAGGCAGAGGUGCCAGAGGCCAGUAGGAGAGUUGGCGGGAUGGGGGCACCAGAACCCAUUUCCUGACGUCAGCUGGAACUGCCCUCCUCACGACACCCACCAGGUGCCCUGCUCUCAUAUCAAAACCUGGUGUCCGUGCCUUCCUGCGUGCCAGGAUUUAAAGUGCAGACAGCAGUCCACUGUAGCCCCUGCAAGGUGACAGCUAGAUUGAGUUCUGUGGGAAUGCUGCCUGGCACAGUGCUUGGCACACACACACACACCAGAACCCCCGCUGACUCUGCAAGGGUGCAUCUCACCACCUGUGUGGACAGAUCGCAAUCACAGCAGCACCAGACCUUGCGGAGGAGCCCAAGGCACGUCCAUCCUCUGCGUGGAACAAGCCCGCAGCAGUGAAGGACCAGGAAGGGUCUCAGGAAAGGAGGAGUAAGCGUGUCUGCCCUUGGUGCCAAAGCUGUGCUCACUUAGGCAGUGUUCUUUGAAAACGCAUUUUUUUAGCCCAUGCCCCACAGCAGUUGGCGUUGAAGUGGCGGGCAUCACCAGGAAGAUCCUUAGAUCCCUUUGUGAAUGUUUGGGCCACAUCAGGCUGUGCAUGCAGUCUGCAGCUGGCAUCAGGUUCUAUAUAAGAGGAAGUAACCGUUUGAUAAUUAUAAUCAUUUUUAAAUUGAUAAAUUGAUUCUUUUAAAUACAAGAAACCAUUAAGACUGACUGUUCUGCAGAAGAAACACAUGGGGAAAUGAAAUUUUCCGUCUCACUGGGAAUUUCUUGGUAAAUAUGCCAGCAAAUGCAUACAUUAAAUUAAUAUCACGAAAGCAAAAUGAUCUCAUGUACUUUUUAAGCACAGAAAAUACAUUGUUUACAACAUAGAAGAGAGUAAACAUCAGAUAAGGGGCACCAAGAAUAUUUUUCUUUUGGAAGAAAACAUCGAAAACUGGUUCAGGGCCUUCAAGGUCUUUAUUUCGACGAGUCUCCCAGUGAUGGGGGCCGUUUCCCAGCAGGUGUGUGGGGAUAACAGUGCAGGUCCCGCUGUCCACUAGGUGGGUUGGUGAUCCGAGGCAGGUGUGUGGGGAUAACAUGCAGGUCCCGCUGUCCGCUAGGUGGGUUGGUGAUCCGAGGCAGGUGUGUGGGGAUAACAGUGCAGGUCCCGCUGUCCGCUAGGUGGGUUGGUGAUCCGAGGCAGGUGUGUGGGGAUAACAGUGCAGGUCCCGCUGUCCGCUAGGUGGGUUGGUGAUCCGAGGCAGGUGUGUGGGGAUAACAGUGCAGGUCCCGCUGUCCGCUAGGUGGGUUGGUGAUGCGAGGCGUGCUGAUUCUGCAGGCGCGGCCGUGAUCCGAGGCGGCCCUGCCGGUGCCGGGGAGCCGCAGACCCUUGUGCCCAAGCUCACCGAGAGCUGAGUCCCAUGAAUACAUGUGGGUUUCUUUGAUGUGCGUGUUUUCGUUUUUAGCUUUAUUUGCUCUACAGUUGCUCGGUCUCGUGAUUUAUAUUUAUUUUCUGCUCUUCAUAUUACUUGUAGCUAUUGUAUGUAGUCCCUUUUUCUCUCUGGGCUGACCCGAGGUGUCCUUUGCUGACCGUGGUGAGUUCUCCUGGUUUCCAAGGUUGCCCUGACUCAGCAGAUGCCUGAUGUUGCUGUAAAUGUCUACACUGUGGAGAAGAGCCAGCCUCGGGUUUCCAGACAGGCUUUCAACUCCUGUUAUCCACUAAGGGAAGCCGUGGUGAGCUCACGUGCGCUCUGAGCCAUGCCCAGAUCUGGUGGUGAGUGAGGAAAGGCAGUGUAGACUCAAGUCAAGGCCUUGUCCUUCCCCCUCAUCUGUUCGUGAGCUGUGUGUUCCUCCGGUGCCCCCACCGGAUGGGCAGUCUUCACAGAACGGCCCCUACCCUGGCGCCAUGAAGGGGCUUUUCCCUGCCCCCCGUGCACCUCUGGAUGUCACCCCUGCUGGGCUCGGUGGCCACGAGCGCUUGUCUGCCAGUGAGGCCACUACACAAGGACGUGGUCCAGCGAAGGGCGUGGCCCGGGCAGGGGAGAAGCAGGCCGAGUGGCUGUGGCUGGGCCCGUGGGCACCAGAGGGGGCCUGGGGCUCCAGGCUCCCGAGCAGCGUGACAGCCACCAGCAGCAGGAGCCUCCCUCGCGCAGAUGAGGGCGGUAGUGAAACAAGAGGGUGACCGUAGAUUACCGUGGUGUCUGCGGGUCGCUAGUGGAAGGGCACCGCUGGCUGUGAGGGCAUAAAGUGCCCUUGACAGGUCGUGACAUUCCGAGCCCGGUCCCUGCAGAGGCUGCACCCUCCUCCCUUCCCGUGGGCAUGUCCUCUCAGGGCGGCCUGUGUGACACAGAAAGGGGAGACGAGGGACGGGAGGCCUGUCGGUGGCCUCUGAGUAGGACUAACCCAGAAGCACCUCGGAGCGUGGGGCCAGGCCUCGCUGUUCCGCCGGCUCCUGCAGACCGUGAGCCUGGCAAGGCCGCUGGCAGCCCAUGCUUCUCGAAGGCCCUGUGGGCCUGGCCUGCCUGCCUUUUCUGAGAGGAGCCAGUGUGGGGGCGUCCACUGCGGUGACACGGAAGGGCUGCCCACGCCAGGCAUCCUAAGCUCGAAUCCCUUUGCGGGGCCUGGAGAGCGGCCUGUGUCACCUCCAGUUACCUCAGGCCCAGGGAGAAACUCCUCGCCCACCAAACAAACAUCCCCCCUGGAAAAGCACGUCUUUCAGUGGAGGCCCUCGGAGACGAACGGGAAGGAGUGUCCCUUGAACCCUAAACUGCCAGAGGGUCGUCAAGCCCUCAGUCACGGUGACGUCCGCUCAGGAAUAUUUCAGCGACACCUGUGGGUAACAGCGGUGGAAUCAGCCGUGUGUGUGCAUGUCACGCAUGGACCCAGGUUAAGGCGCGGGAGUCUCAGCUGGAGCCGACUGCGUAAAGUCACCUGGAAGAGAAACCUAACGCUCUCAGUGUAAAGAAAAUGUGGCUCCUCAGACCCAAAGUUUUUAUUCUAAGCUGUUGCAAACGCACAGUUCAGAUCAGCAUGUUCGCAGAAAACUGGCUUUGAUUCCAUUUCAUGCUAUGACGCAUCUGUUUCCAAACCUGAGGAAGUGCUUGGGGGUUCAGAAGGAUGUGGGCAGGUGGGCUUGGACCAAGUUGGAGGUGCUCCUGUGUUCUCGGGCCUGCCUGUGCUGGCCCCGGGGGCGCAGCGUGUGGUAUUUGCUCAUGUGUUUCGCCAGUGAGUACUUUCUUUCUUCCCGAGCCCAGGUGAACGUCCCCUGUAACUCGGGGGACCUGCAGAACAGAGUUUGAGAAAUGCCGGUGUGUUUCAGUGGACACCCGUAGUUUAAAAAUGAAACAUUUAUAAAAUGCUUCUGUUGCAAGUGCCGCCCAGGAAAGGCUGGUGGUCCUGGCCCCGUGUGGCCUGCCCUUCCAGAUGCUUCACGUUGGGCCGGGCCAGGGAGCAGGUGCAACCUCGGCUUCCCUCCUGGAGGCGGGGGAGCCUUGCGGCCGGACAGCCGCCCUUCCUCAGCCCGAUGUCAGCACAGCGGCGGAAAGGGCGCCGAGCCGCCGCCUCGCCGGGCGGGUGCCACGCGGCAGACGGCCCGUCCCUCAUUCUCCGUCCCUGAGGGGCUCCUCCUCCUUCCUGGGAGCGCGCGCGUCCCGAGGUCGCGUCCCGAGGUCGGCAGCAGUGUUUCCGGAGUUCGUGUGAGGGAGCAGAUCCUUCACCUCCACGUGCCUUUUGGUCGCGUCGCUGCCACGUACAGGCCAGGGAGCGUCACUUCAGCGUCAAUUUUCUCGGCUUAUUUUUAAUUGUUUCAAAUGCUUCCGGGAAAUUGCCAAUUCCUGGGCACGGUUAAGGACUCUUGGCCGCAGGUGCCAGCCGUCAGGGGCAGGCCCCAUCCUCAGGUCUGUCUCGGCACGGUCCGUAUCCAGACGGCACACGCCCUUCCCAGCAUCCAGGCGCACGUUCUUUCUUCCCCAAGAUCUCAUGCUCUGACUUCUCCUUCUCCCCGCCGAGCUCUGGAUCCCUCGAGGGCAUCCUGGCUCGUCCCCCUCGGGCGCCUUCCGUGACCCCAGCGACUCUGCUGCCCUGCGCACCCCGUGCCCUGCCGCACUGUGACCCUGUCAUUUCCCUGUUGUUGCCCAUCUCCCUGAGGGGCUGCCAAGGGCCCUGGAUCAUCACGUGAUCCUGGUGCUUAAGGGGACCCGGGAGCUUUAUCCUGCACGUCUGUUGAAAACCGUCCCCCUGCCAGUGCUCCAGGGUCGUUCCCGGGCAUGAGCUUCCCGUGUGUGUGUCUGUCUCCUGCACUAGACGGGGCGCGCCGUGAAGGCAGCAUCUUCUCCUGGCUGGUCUCCAGCUGUGUCCGCGCCACAUGCAUGUUAAUAUUCACUUCACACAUUUGCCCACAUGUGGCAUUUCAAAUACUUAGUAGUUGAGCUGGUAACGUGAAUUAUGUUUCAAAUACCAUGAUGAUACAGGGAGCAUUUCUUAAGUGGAGUUUCCCCGGAAAGCAGAGACGCCCUGGAGAUGGACCCUCCCUGGGGUGGGGCAGGCGAGCAGGGUUCUCCGACAGCAGGUGCCAACAGACCACUGCCCAGGGACUGUUCUAUGCCAAAAGAUGCUACCCACCUCAAAAAAUUGUCAGAGUAAGUAUUCCAGAAAAAUCAGAAAUCCAUAUUCCUUUUUCAAAUUCUAUUCCUGACCAUCUGCACCGCAAGAGACCCUAUGAGAAGAGGGUGAAGAGACUCACAGAUCCUGUUUCUGAUGAAAGUCUUGUAUUCAGAACACACAAAGAACUCUCUAAACGCAACAGAAAGAAAAUACACAUUCCAAUUAGAAAACGGGCAAGACAUUUCACCAAAGAGGAUGUGAGUUGGGCACUAAGCACAUGAAAGGAUGCUCCUUAGACAACAGGAAAUGCACAUCGAAGUCAGCGAGAGGCCACGCACGCCUGCAGCUCUGAGAACAGCGUGGCACGUUCUUACACAGUCACGCAGCGCUUCCACGUGGCCCCGCAGUCGCACUCCCGCUCGUAUGUCCUAGAGAAAUGAAAGCUCACAUCCUAGCAGAUCUGCACACGAAUCUCACAGUAGUUCCAUCCACAAUGGCCCCAAAUGCGGAGCAGCUCACAUGGCUUUUCAAAGGUGAACGAACCCACGGGGCCCCUCCGCACAGGGGCCGCUCCGCAACAGAAGCAGCAAGCGGGACCUGUGACGCAACGUGGGUGCCGCCGAUGGUCUUGCACUGAGUGAGGAAAGCCCACCUAAAAGGUGUAUUUUAUUUCUCUCACACCCUUAACAUGACAGACUUACACGAUUGAGAGCAGGCCUGUGGUUGCUGGGGACCAGAACUCAGGGAGAUGGGGCUGUAGAGGGGUUGGGAGGGGGUGACUGAGGUGCUGUCCCCCCCUAGGGGCUGCGGGCGUGGGAGUCCAAACACAUUAGCAACU
RNAcentral lists this long non-coding RNA (6534 nucleotides) under Sus scrofa (pig). Its description in RNAcentral is "lncRNA (ENSSSCG00040042341.1)". Lineage: Eukaryota; Metazoa; Chordata; Mammalia; Artiodactyla; Suidae. The record is from RNAcentral.